UAAUACCGGCACCUCAAGUGGUCGUCGCUUUUAUUGGGCCUAAAACGUCCGUCGCCUGUUUGGUACAUUCGUGGGUAAAUCAAGCCGCUCAACGGCUUGAAUUCUGCGAGGACGGCCAGACUAGGGACCGGGAGAGGUAUGGGGUACUCUCAGGGUAGGGGUAAAAUCCAGUCAUCCUGAGGGGACCACCUGUUGCGAAGGCGCCAUACUAGAACGGAUCCGACGGUCAGGGACGAAGCCUAGGGGCACGAACCGGAUUAGAUACCCGGGUAGUCCUAGGUGUAAACGCUGUGGACUUGGUGUUGGGGAUUCUACGAGUAUCUCCAGUGCCGGAGUGAAGAUGUUAAGUCCACUGCCUGGGGAGUACGGUCGCAAGGCUG
RNAcentral lists this ribosomal RNA (380 nucleotides) under uncultured euryarchaeote. RNAcentral describes it as "bacterial SSU rRNA". It matches the Rfam family "Archaeal small subunit ribosomal RNA", at positions 471 to 851 of the family's 1478-position model. The record is from RNAcentral. Lineage: Archaea; Methanobacteriati; Methanobacteriota.